AUUGAACGCUGGCGGAAUGCUUUACACAUGCAAGUCGAACGGCAGCACGGACUUCGGUCUGGUGGCGAGUGGCGAACGGGUGAGUAAUGUAUCGGAACGUGCCCAGUCGUGGGGGAUAACGUAGUGAAAAUUACGCUAAUACCGCAUACGAUCUAUGGAUGAAAGCGGGGGAUCGCAAGACCUCGCGCGAUUGGAGCGGCCGAUAUCAGAUUAGGUAGUUGGUGGGGUAAAGGCCCACCAAGCCAACGAUCUGUAGCUGGUCUGAGAGGACGCCCAGCCAGACUGGAACGGAGCGACGGUCCAGACUCCUACGGGAGGCAGCAGUGGGGAAUUUUGGACAAUGGGCGAAAGCCUGAUCCAGCCAUUCCGCGUGCAGGAUGAAGGCCCUCGGGUUGUAAACUGCUUUUGUACAGAACGAAAAGGUUUCUACUAAUACUAGGAGCUCAUGACGGUACUGUAAGAAUAAGCACCGGCUAACUACGUGCCAGCCGCCGCAGUAA
RNAcentral lists this ribosomal RNA (500 nucleotides) under uncultured bacterium. Its description in RNAcentral is "partial 16S ribosomal RNA". It matches the Rfam family "Bacterial small subunit ribosomal RNA", at positions 30 to 523 of the family's 1533-position model. The record is from RNAcentral.